Molecule: ribosomal RNA, 372 nt
Filed under: uncultured organism
Description: bacterial SSU rRNA
Rfam family: Bacterial small subunit ribosomal RNA
Source: RNAcentral
CAGAGGGUGCAAGCGUUGUUCGGAAUUAUUGGGCGUAAAGCGCGUGUAGGCGGCAUUGCAAGUCGGGUGUGAAAGCCCUGGGCUCAACCCAGGAAGUGCGCCCGAAACUGCUUUGCUUGAGUACCGGAGAGGGUAGCGGAAUUCCCCAAGUAGAGGUGAAAUUCGUAGAUAUGGGGAGGAACACCGGUGGCGAAGGCGGCUACCUGGACGGAUACUGACGCUGAGACGCGAAAGCGUGGGUAGCAAACAGGAUUAGAUACCCUGGUAGUCCACGCUGUAAACGAUGAGAACUAGGUGUCGUGGGUGUUGACCCCCGCGGUGCCGUAGCUAACGCAUUAAGUUCUCCGCCUGGGAAGUACGGCCGCAAGGCUA